This 481-nucleotide ribosomal RNA is filed under the name Gratidiini sp. 2 SB-2021. Its description in RNAcentral is "partial large subunit ribosomal RNA". It matches the Rfam family "Bacterial large subunit ribosomal RNA", at positions 1920 to 2612 of the family's 2925-position model. Lineage: Eukaryota; Metazoa; Arthropoda; Insecta; Phasmatodea; Diapheromeridae. The record is from RNAcentral.
UUAUUUAAUGGCCGCGGUAUUUUGACCGUGCAAAGGUAGCAUAAUCAUUAGUCUAUUAAUUGUGGACUUGUAUGAAUGGUUGGACGAAAUAUUUACUGUCUCAUUGGUAUUAUUAUAAUUUAAAUUUUUAGUUAAAAUGCUUAAAUUUUAUUAUAGGACGAGAAGACCCUAUAGAUCUUUAAUUCUUUAAUUAUAUUAUUUUUUGGUUUAUUAUUUUUAAUAUAUUUAAUUUUUUUUAGUUGGGGUGACAUGAAGAAUUUAAUUUGAACUCUUUAUAUUAUUUAACAAUUAUUUUUGAUUUAUUGACCUUUUAUUAAUGUUAUAAGAAAAAGAUACCUUAGGGAUAACAGCGUAAUUCUUUUUGAGAGUUCAUAUCGACAAGAGAGAUUGCGACCUCGAUGUUGGAUUAAGAUUAUAAUUAGGUGUAGAUGUUUAAUUAUUAGGUCUGUUCGACCUUUAAAUUCUUACAUGAUCUGAGUUC